UCCCCCUCCCUCCCUCCUCCCUUUUCCCCGCUCUAGCUCGGCCGCCAGCUCCGGCCUCGGCUCCCCCUCAUAGAACCCCCUCCCCGGAGUGGAGCCCAUCGGAGGGUCCCUCUCCCGCCCCUCUGCCCGCCGCCCGCCAGAACAGCAGCCCCGGGGGGCAGCCCCCACCAGCCUGCCUCCCUCCAGCUCAGCCCUGCCAGAGCCCCCCCAGCCAUGAAUCUCUUCCGAUUCCUGGGAGACCUCUCCCACCUCCUAGCCAUCAUCUUGCUACUGCUUAAAAUCUGGAAGUCCCGCUCGUGUGCCGGGAUUUCAGGGAAGAGCCAGGUUCUGUUUGCUGUGGUGUUCACUGCCCGCUACCUGGACCUCUUCACUAACUACAUCUCACUUUACAACACGUGCAUGAAGGUGGUCUACAUAGCCUGCUCUUUCACCACGGUCUGGAUGAUUUACAGUAAGUUCAAAGCCACUUACGAUGGGAACCACGAUACGUUCCGGGUGGAGUUCCUCGUCGUCCCCACAGCCAUCCUGGCAUUCCUGGUCAACCACGACUUCACUCCUCUGGAGAUCCUCUGGACCUUCUCCAUCUACCUGGAGUCAGUGGCCAUCUUGCCACAACUGUUCAUGGUGAGCAAGACUGGCGAGGCGGAGACCAUCACGAGCCACUACCUGUUUGCCCUGGGCGUCUACCGCACCCUGUAUCUCUUCAACUGGAUCUGGCGCUACCACUUUGAGGGCUUCUUCGAUCUCAUCGCCAUCGUGGCUGGCCUGGUCCAGACUGUCCUCUACUGCGAUUUCUUCUACCUCUAUAUCACCAAAGUCCUAAAGGGGAAGAAGCUAAGCUUGCCGGCGUAGCCCUGGUCCUCACCAGCCCUCUCCUCGGCAGUGUCGGGAGGCAGAGGAAGGUGACAGAAGACGAGCCUUCCCGUCCAGGGAGGCCUGGGAGGAGCAGGAAGAUGAGAAAUGGGGUUUUCCAAGACUCAGCUGCACCCUGAUUCUUACGGCUCUGCUGGGGAAGAGGUUUUGGAGAAAAUCUUGAAGAUUGUAAGAAUCUUGCCGUAGAAACUGCCUGAUGGCCCUCCAGACCCUCAGGGCUGCGGAGGACUCUCCAGAACACGUAUGUCAGAGGCCACAAGUGGGCAGCCCCUGGCCCGCCCGCCCUCGAAUGGCACUGUGAUGCAUUUUGUUGAGCCACAUGGUGUUUUUUUCUGAAAAAGAAUGGGUCACCAGCCUUUCAAAACCAGAUUUUCACUUUGAAGUCUGGAUUUCUGGCUUCUCUUAAAAAGAGAGCUGUCAGCCUGACGGUGCUGGGCCUGCACUUCUGGACUGCAGCAGAUGGCAGGCACUGAAUGGAGGGGAUGUGAGCAUUUCACCACGGUCCCCAGGACUUGGCUGUGGAGCUGCUGUAGUUUAUUAUUGGGCUGACACCAUGUGUCUUGUUUGUUUUGUUUUGAUUGUGUAGCGUUAAAAGGCAAAUGAAAUAUUUUCUAGGUCUCUCUGGAUUGGCUUCACACCUGGCCUGUUUCCUGCCCUUAGGUAACCUGUCUCGCUCUUGUAAACAUUUAGAUUUGACCCUCGUUUUAGUCAGACUUCUGUAUGAGAACUUCCUAACUCUGCUCAGCUGCCUCCAGAUCUUCUGCAGGAUAACCAUGGAAGCUUCAGGAGGCAGGGAGCUGGCAUUUCCUGAGUCCUUAAUAGGUACCAGGCCCUGUGCAUCACCGGGAUAAGCUCAUUGACCCUUAUCCUCCCUAAAGAGGGGGCUCUUUAUAGAUGAAGAAACUGGCUUGGUGGGGUAAGGGCAAAGAUGGAGUUUGCAUAUGCAGUUCCUGACACCAGAGCCUUUGUGUUUAACUGCUUCUGUGUGUUUUUAGCACAUCCCCACCCCCCCGCCGCCCGUGCCCUUUUAAGCCAAGGGACCUCUGUUUAGAAGCCUGGUAUUGGAAACACAGGAGCAGGGCCACCUGAGUGAACUGUGGGGUAAGGGCGGUAUCCCUGCCUGUUCAGCCCUAGGCACCUCUUUGAACCCAAUCUGAAAACUGCCUGUCUAAAUCAGAUCCAAUUCUUUAGUUGUAAGCCAAUAUAACUCACCCCAGAGAAGUUAAGUGACACACCUGAGACCAUCCAGCUGGUGACAGAAUGAGGAGCAAAGGCUCAGAACCCCAUUUCCCAGGUCAGAGUACUUCCUGUCCCACUGCACUGUGGCCAUUUUCUGUAGAUGCCCAUGGGGACCGUGUUGUAUUUAUUUCUGUACCUCCAGAACCAAGUACAGGGCCUGGUACACAUGAAGCCUCAAAAAAGAGACCAAUGGAACCCAAAGUUGACUCCCCACAACCCACAUCCCUUUGUCCAGUUUGGAAACAAAUGUUCUGCAGCUGCAGUGGCCCCCUGUGUAGGUGUGUUUUGUUUGGCCUGCACACAGUGAUCACUUUUUUUUUGUAUCUGUUGCCCCUAAUUUCACACUAAAACACAUACACACACGCACACA
Non-coding RNA from Ictidomys tridecemlineatus (thirteen-lined ground squirrel), 2482 nucleotides. The record is from RefSeq and is a predicted model, not a curated record. Lineage: Eukaryota; Metazoa; Chordata; Mammalia; Rodentia; Sciuridae.